AUACAGAGGGUGCAAGCGUUAAUCGGAUUUACUGGGCGUAAAGCGCGCGUAGGUGGCUAAUUAAGUCAAAUGUGAAAUCCCCGAGCUUGACUUGGGAAUUGCAUUCGAUACUGGUUAGCUAGAGUAUGGGAGAGGAUGGUAGAAUUCCAGGUGUAGCGGUGAAAUGCGUAGAGAUCUGGAGGAAUACCGAUGGCGAAGGCAGCCAUCUGGCCUAAUACUGACACUGAGGUGCGAAAGCAUGGGGAGCAAACAGGAUUAGAUACCCUGGUAGUCCAUGCCGUAAACGAUGUCUACUAGCCGUUGGGGCCCUUGAGGCUUUAGUGGCGCAGCUAACGCGAUAAGUAGACCGCCUGGGGAGUACGGUCGCAAGACUAAAACUCAAAUGAAUUGGCGGGG
RNAcentral lists this ribosomal RNA (396 nucleotides) under uncultured bacterium. RNAcentral's name for it is "partial 16S ribosomal RNA". It matches the Rfam family "Bacterial small subunit ribosomal RNA", at positions 523 to 918 of the family's 1533-position model. The record is from RNAcentral.